UACGAAGGGGGCUAGCGUUGUUCGGAAUUACUGGGCGUAAAGGGCGCGUAGGCGGCUUUGUCAGUCAGGCGUGAAAGCCCCGGGCUUAACCUGGGAACUGCGCUUGAUACUGCAAGGCUUGAGUACCGGAGAGGUAGGUGGAAUUCCCAGUGUAGAGGUGAAAUUCGUAGAUAUUGGGAAGAACACCGGUGGCGAAGGCGGCCUACUGGACGGUAACUGACGCUGAGGCGCGAAAGCGUGGGGAGCAAACAGG
This 253-nucleotide ribosomal RNA is filed under the name uncultured bacterium. Its description in RNAcentral is "partial 16S ribosomal RNA". It matches the Rfam family "Bacterial small subunit ribosomal RNA", at positions 524 to 776 of the family's 1533-position model. The record is from RNAcentral.